Molecule: ribosomal RNA, 120 nt
Filed under: Pteropus alecto (black flying fox)
Lineage: Eukaryota; Metazoa; Chordata; Mammalia; Chiroptera; Pteropodidae
Source: RNAcentral
GUCUACGGCCUCGCCCCCCUGAACGAGCCCGGUGUCUGAUCUCGGAAGCUAAGCAGGGUCGGGCCUGGUGAGUACUUAGAUGGGAGACCGACUGCCUAGGAAGACCAGGUGCUGCAGGCA